AAUGUAAAUGAUAUUUUAUGUUAAUGAAUUUUUCCUGCAGUCUGACCUCCUUAGCAAAAAAAUAAGCAGAUAAUUUAGGGUGAAAGGGUCUGGACUACACAAAAGGACACUCAGGCAAUGUUUCAGUGGUUUGAGAGCAGUCCUAUCCAUGUUUCUUUAGCUGUGGCCUGUUGCCACAUGGAAAUUUCCUGGUGGGCCACCAUGUUAAAGAUUGGCUAAGGUCUACUCUGUGGAGGCAGGUUUACCCUGGAGACCAUUCUAAAAGUAAUGGAAAACCUACUCAGGAAAUGUAAUUUCAAGGCCUAUCUUUUUUGACUUGUGCAAUUUUGAAAGUUCAGUCUGUGUCAUACACAUUUUGUGUCAGAUGAAGUUUUCACAGCAAAGCUCAUAGUAGUUCUGAUAACUGAUACUAUAAAGAAAAACCAGAAACACAAUUUCCAGAAGCUUCUCUGGACACUAGAAAAGACUGUCAAAUAAAAUAGUUUUCUCAAGUCAAAAUGAUCAUUAUUGCCCUUGAAGACUAAAUGAUGUAUUGUUUGAAUAAAUCUAAUGAGUUAGGAACCUAUACAGUGGUUUAUACCCCUCUUCCCAUAUACCCUUUACCUUCUGGGAUUUCUCAGGUUUCCCAUCUAUGAAAUGGCGGUGUUCAUAAUGUUGUAUUUCAUGAGUGUAAACAAUAUAAUCUUAUACUUCAUAAAAUUGCUAUAGAGCUAGGAUGAGCUAAUAGGUUUGAAAUAACUUUGUAUACUAUAAAAUGCUAUUAAUUCAUCAAACAUUCAUUAAGUACAUAUAUACCAGACCUUGUGCUAGACCCAAGGGAGGGAUAUAAAAACAAAUUCUUGCUUUGUGAUUGAGCUCACAAAUGAGGGAAGUGACAGACGAGGGUAAAAUCAUAAUACAGGAUAAAGAAAACUGCAGCAUCACAGAUGGUGUAUCAAUUGAUUCUGUCUAGAGGGUUCACAGAAGAGAAGAUACUUAAUGUGGACUUGGAACGCUAGCUAAUAUUUCACUAGAGGGAGAAGGCGCAAAGGGCAUUCCAGUCAGAUAUCUACUUAUAAUCCGUAUCAAGAGAGUCACUACAUUUUUGAAAAAAUGGUAAGUGGAAGGAAGGUAUCCAGAAGGCAUGUAAAGGUGAUGUAAUUGUUUCUUUUCUUUCUUCUACUUCUUUUUUAUUUUCUUAGAUUGACAGAAGACAAGCUAACUUCAUAAAACAAAGUUAGAAACAAAGAAGCAUCAGAGACAACUGAACCAGGACAAGAAAUGGUGAAAGUGUAGCAGGGAAAACAAUCUGUUACUUUAUACAUACCCUAAAAAAUGCAUGAAAGUUUGAAACCUCAAUGAAACCUCAAGGAAACCCCAUGAAAAACAGGAUGCUCCUCUUUUAAUGAUCAAGCAAGUGAAUAUAUCAAUUUAGAGAUUACGAAAAAAUGAAAAGUGACUAACAGUAUGUUUGUCAAAGAUACAUUCAAAUGCAUUUUACAAAACAACUUCAACAAUAGUUCAUGAACUAAGCAGGACAAUGGGAGAAUAAGCUGAGUCCUAGUCAGAAUUAUUACCAAUACUUUGUGUCACAGGUGUAAAGGCCUGUUACUCCUUUAUACCACCUCAACUCUUUUGCUAGGUGCUACUGAGAUGAGUGAAUAUUCUGAGUUUAUUUUAAAGAUAGAAAUCUGUGCAAGAAAAAGUAGCAAAGCAUUUUAAGGGUAAAUAAUUCAAAACCUCAGGUGGCAACAUACACAUGUACACGCAUACAAACUCAUUUCUCACAUUCAGAACUAUUAAGUUAAAGAUCAGACAUAUGAUUUACAUUACUGUUGAAGGUGAAAGGGGAUGCUAUUUAUAAUUUUCACUGGGGAAACAGGUACAAACCUGGAUGGUCCCAGGCAGAAUUAGAUGUAUGGUGACCCUAGUUACAGGAACCACAAAGUUAGACUUUGUUAAACAGAACAAAGCCAAUGUUCUUUGUGCUCCUCUAAGGAGCUCCUGGAGCUUUUGGUCUUGACAUAUAAGAAAUUUUGGUAUGGGCAUAAUUUAUAAUGUAAGUGCUGAAGGGAUGGAGUAGGGACCAGUAUAAUAUUGUGGUUAAGAGUAUUACUAGCUUCACAUCCUGGCUAAUGAAUUGUGUGAUGUUGGACAAGAUGCAUCUAUAUGACCAGCUACUGUGUGCCUUAGCUUCUUCAUUUGUAAAUUGAGAACAAUAAUUGGUUAUAGUGAGAAUUAAAUGAGUUAAUAUAUGGAAAUUGCUUGUAGCGAGGUCUGGCUCACAGCAUUAUAUAUUAUUAUAUAUUGUCAUUUUGUUUAAUUAUCCCCAUUUUAUAGAUUUCAAAAGAAACACACACACAACCAAAAGAAACAAACAAAUUUUAUUUUAGGGUUUAUCUGAUGUCUUUCAGGUUCACUUUAGAAUAUUCAAGAAGGGAUCCAGGCAUUAGAUUGGGCUGGAAACUUGGUCUCCUACAGAAAGAACUAUCUUCCCGGCUUUCUCUGGAAAUGAGUGGAGGGAAUGAAGAGCUUCCAGAAGAUGGAUGAAGAGUCUGUAAAUUUGGAAGAGGCAGAAGAUAGCAAUGAGAGUUAACAGAGAUAUGACAUGAACAUAUAUUAGAAAAAUGAUUCACACACAAUAGAAAAACUUCCUCGAACAAAUAAACAAACUGGCAGAGACUGUUACUUGUAGCAUGUGGCUAAUUUCUAGUCAGAGAAUAUGAACAGAACUUAUGAGUAUUUCUUCUAUGUCUGGCCCAUAUCAUUUUUCUGGUCAACGAACAAACAAAUAAACAAGCCAAAUACAACAAUGAAGAUUAAAAAAAAAAAAAAAGAAAACCCUUCCUAGUUUCCACCCGGCUGGAGAAGACUGUGCCAAGCUUGGAAGCCAUAUUGUUGAAAGUGGCAGAGCAUUUUAUCGACUUGAGUUCAGUGACUAUGGAGAAGGAGCCCUAUUACUCUACUAGACUGUUUGAAGAGCAAGCAAUAAACUUAUACCAUGUUGAGUCA
Molecule: non-coding RNA, 2991 nt
Organism: Macaca mulatta (Rhesus monkey)
Lineage: Eukaryota; Metazoa; Chordata; Mammalia; Primates; Cercopithecidae
Source: RefSeq, a predicted model, not a curated record